AAUCAACGCUGGCGGCGUGCCUAACACAUGCAAGUCGAACGCGAAAGUUCCUUCGGGGAUGAGUAGAGUGGCGUCCGGGUGAGUAACGCGUGGGUAAUCUGCCUUUGGGUGGGGAAUAACCCAGGGAAACUUGGGCUAAUACCGCAUAAUGCAGCGGCUCGACAUCGAGACGGUUGUUAAAGCAGCAAUGUGCCUGGAGAGGAGCCUGCGUCUGAUUAGCUAGNGGUAAGGUAAUGGCUUACCAAGGCUGCGAUCAGUAGCUGGUCUGAGAGGACGGCCAGCCACAAUGGCACUGAAACACGGGCCAUACUCCUACGGGAGGCAGCAGUGGGGAAUUUUGCGCAAU
RNAcentral lists this ribosomal RNA (346 nucleotides) under uncultured bacterium. RNAcentral describes it as "bacterial SSU rRNA". It matches the Rfam family "Bacterial small subunit ribosomal RNA", at positions 32 to 372 of the family's 1533-position model. The record is from RNAcentral.